Molecule: ribosomal RNA, 254 nt
Filed under: uncultured bacterium
Lineage: Bacteria
Description: partial 16S ribosomal RNA
Rfam family: Bacterial small subunit ribosomal RNA
Source: RNAcentral
UACAGAGGGGGCAAGCGUUGUCCGGAAUUACUGGGCGUACAGCGCGCGCAGGCGGUUGCCGACGUGCCGUGUGACAAGCGGGGGCUCAACCCCCGAGGGCCACGGUAAACGGGGCGACUGGAGGGGGGGAGAGGGAUGCGGAAUUCCAGGUGUAGCGGUGAAAUGCGUAGAUAUCUGGAGGAACACCGGUGGCGAAGGCGGCAUCCUGGACCAUGACUGACGCUGAGGAGCGAAAGCCAGGGGAGCAAACGGGG